Molecule: unclassified non-coding RNA, 645 nt
Filed under: Hevea brasiliensis (rubber tree)
Lineage: Eukaryota; Viridiplantae; Streptophyta; Magnoliopsida; Malpighiales; Euphorbiaceae
Source: RNAcentral
UUCUUUUCUUCCUCAUUUUGCUAGAUCUCUCGAACUCUCUUUCCAGCCUUCUCAAGUUCUCUCUGCACUCUCUCAUUCUUCCAGCAGCAAUCUCUUCCUUUUUAUAGUGAAAUUUGCUCGCUUUUGUCAACUAAUGCCAUACUUGCACCAUGCCUAAGCAUGGCUAUUUUCUUUUUCUUGUACACAGAUAUUCACCUACUAAAACCUCAUCAAAAUUACAAUUUUUCAGUAUUUAAUUUGUUGAGUGUGGCCAUACCUCCACUAGAGUUAGGUCACCAACAACAACGUCAGACGCUGUGAGAGUGAGAAGUGAAAAACUAUAUACCAGAAUACGUAGUUGUGCAGGCAUGUAUGCUUUUCAUAGCCAGAUCAUUAAAUGAGCUUUUAGAGCAUGAGUAGGAAAUCACCUCAAUAUAUGGCCAAAGCUAGCACACAGCAGGUGCUGUUCAUACAUAGUACAGCCACCUCAAGUUGCUUUCCUGCAUUGCCAGUGAGGAAGAGAUAAUCUGCAUCCCAAGGACUAGAUUAUCCAAUAUCAUACAUGUCAAUCUAAACCUCAGGAUGCAGAUUACCCAAUCCUGACCCAAUAUUGAUUAUCAACUCCUUAAAGGAUAAAAUAUAUCAUUUCAUGCUCGAGAGAGAGAG